CCCACCCCAGGCCUGUCUCCACCCCCAGGCCUGUUUCCACCCCAGGGCUGUGUGCUGUGAUCUGGGCUUGGUUGAGGCCCAGGUGCCCACCGUCCACCACUCAGAUUAUGUGCCUGAACUCUGGGGACGCUCCCACCUACCGCCCUCUCAAGGAGCUCCUUCCCUGAGUGUCUCCGCUGGUCUCCUGGCUUCCACUGGCUGGACCUUCCAAUGCUCCUGCGAUUCGAGAGGCCCUCGCUGGGCCCAUGACUCUUCCUGUAGCUGAGACUCUAUAGCCCGAAUGCGAGCCUAGCCCUGCAGUCGCCAGAUAAGAUAAUAUAGCCUGGUAUAGCUAGCUAUUUUAGCUGUCGCAUCGGCUAACCCUAAUGUUAGCCUAAUCCUAGCAUAUGCUAAUCUAGAGAGGGAAGGUUUCUCCCAUGUUAUCUUGAACUAGACUAGCAUCUCCUGGCUACUACUGCCCCUCGGAUCCUCCACUGAACUGCUGACAGCUGGCUUAACUUCAAGGCAAGAUUGUACUCUCUGGCCUGCAUGGACCCAGCCAGCCAAGCCAUUACGUAAAGCACUGAUGAAGAUGUACACUGAACCAAGGAAAUACAAUUCCUUCCACAAACUCCUUUGCCCUUCAGCCUGGUUCCUCCAGCUGGCCCCGGAAGGACUCGUGACAGCUAACUGCAGAUCACCCCAGCCAGCUGUCACCCACAGGGGAGGGAGGGAUGGAUGGAGGGAUGAAGGGAUGGAGAGAUGGAUGGGAACUGCAAAUGCAUAAUCCAUCCAAUGCGUUGUUUGGAUGGAUGAACGGAUUGAUGGAUGGAUGGUUAGAUGUUGUUGACUGAUGUAAAACAUGGAGGAGGCGAUAGAUGCAUGAUGCUAGAUGAUGAUAGUGCUGGAGACGUGAAUCCUCUAAGAACUCAACUCUAGCUGGGAGAAAGGGAAGAGGGAGGAAUGGAUGAAGGAGAGGUUGGUGAACAGAGAGAUGGACGGAACCCUGCACAUUGGAUGGAGGGAUGAGAGGAGGAGUCAAAGUAGACAUUUAUUUGAUGACUUUGACGUACAGGAACCGGACUGGGUUUCAUGGUGUGUGAGGAACCUCCAACACCAUCUUGAGAUCCUUGGGACAAGGCCUCUACAGUGACCAGCCAAACACAACAUCCCCAGAUGCCUCAAACUGAACCACUGAUACACAGAUUCAAAUAAAUGAACCUACAGCUCUGAUGUUAGACUCAGAAGCCAUGGAAACAUGGCAUCCGUAACACAGCUGUGGUUGCUGCUUCUUUCCUGUAGGGGGCGACGUGCCAGCAAGAAAAGGCAGGCCUGCAAGGUCUAAACAGGAGUUCACACACCAAAGCAUUGUUCAUUAUGAUUAUGUAACAUUCACCCGGUCACCUCACUGCAAGAGUAGUGCAAAGCCAACAGGUGUUUACUUUGAGGUUGUUACCUUCACAUUUUGUUCUUGUUUUUAGCCAAGGCAUGAGCUGAGGUCAUUGUAGUUAUGAUUAUUGGGGUUGUGGAUCGAUUGGAGGAUCGGGCCUCAAGGUGAACACUUUAACAACGAGAUUAGGGUUGUGUAUCGUUUAUAUCCCAGGCUAGAUGUACCAAAACAAACUCCACACACAUACACAUACCCACACACACGCACCCACACAUACACACUGAGGGGCAUGCAACAGGCGUACAUUGACCAUUGAAGAAUUGCUAUGCAAUGAAAGGUUUUGGGGAUAAAUAUCUCAGAUUUAUUUACACGAUAUCGAUUAAGAAACAGGUUGACCAUAUGAGCAUGUGAGGAAGUCAGUUAACUCAUUUUAGGACACGUGCUCUGCAUUUCAGACCAAUGCACACACAAGGCUUUGGGGAAACCCUUCUAACAGUACAGCUGGACAGACUGAUGGUAUGAUAUAUAUAUGUGACUUAUGUUUAUACCACGGUUUUCUUCUCACCAUUUGUAUUUAUCGCCUGUUUGCAUGGUUCUUAUUUAUUCAAUCUCUUCAUUUGUAUAUUUUGCUUAGCCAAAGACACUGCAAGCUGUUUAUCUGAGCACUGAUUCUGGCACUGAUACUUAGCUCUAUGUUGUCAGUUGUGGUUUAGCCAUGAUGACACUUUGAAGUUUAGCCCAUCCCUCUCCUUAUAUUCUUUAGGCAUUUUAACGUACUUUUGUACACGAUUAUUAAAAAAGUUACUCUAACAUAGGAGAAAUAUUUUUGUGUAGCAUAAAUGUGUAUUAACCAUGUACAUUUUUUUCAAGUUUUAAGAGGUUUAAAGUUGAAAGAAUUUAGUUUCUACACAAAACAAAUAUCUUUUUACAAGAGUAAUUUGGAGUCCAUGUAUGUUUAAUGUAUUGUAUGAUGGUAAUUGUUCAUGACAUAGUAUAUGACAUGUAUUAAAGUGAUCCGAAUGUUCAA
Molecule: long non-coding RNA, 2396 nt
Organism: Hypomesus transpacificus
Lineage: Eukaryota; Metazoa; Chordata; Actinopteri; Osmeriformes; Osmeridae
Exons: 2
Source: RefSeq, a predicted model, not a curated record